CAAUAUUUAUUUUGUUUCAUUCUAUUUGGGUUUAGGAUUUAUAUUUAGAUUUAAGGUUUAGUGAUUAGGAUUUAGGGUUUAGUAUUUAGAAGGUAGAAAUGAAAUUAGGAUCAACAUUAAAUUUUGAUAUUUGGGUUUAGGGUUUACUUUUGAUUUUAGGGUUUAAUUUUUGGUUUAUGGUUUAGUAAUUAGAGUUUAUGAUUUAGUAUUUAGAGAGUGAGAGUGAAGUUAUGAUCAGCUUUAGAUUUUAAUAUUUGGGUUUAUGAUUUAUAUUCGGGUUUAUGGUCUAAUUUUUGGUUUAAGAUUUAGUGAUUAGAGUUUAUUGAUUAGUAUUUAUAGAGUGAGAGUGAAGUUAUGAUCAGCUUUAAAUUUUAAUAUUUAGUUUAUGAUGUAUAUUUAGGUUUAGAUAUAAUUUUUCAUUGCAUUCAAAGUUUCAAACACAACACUUUGUACGACCGUAAGGUGAAAUAAUUAUAAUUCUAUUAUCACUGUUAUCAUUUAAAUGGUUAAC
This 511-nucleotide long non-coding RNA is filed under the name Brassica napus (rape). RNAcentral's name for it is "long non-coding RNA (BNAP_LNC006830)". Lineage: Eukaryota; Viridiplantae; Streptophyta; Magnoliopsida; Brassicales; Brassicaceae. The record is from RNAcentral.